Long non-coding RNA from Cucumis melo (muskmelon), 677 nucleotides. RefSeq lists it as uncharacterized. The record is from RefSeq and is a predicted model, not a curated record. Lineage: Eukaryota; Viridiplantae; Streptophyta; Magnoliopsida; Cucurbitales; Cucurbitaceae. The transcript has 2 exons.
UUAUUUAGACUUUAAAAUUCUAUCUUUAUUUGUGAUUUUGAUGGACAAAAGAAAAGAAUAUAAAAUGAAAAUUUUGAAACGUCAACAAAACCCUCACCUCACAGCCCCCACCCCUUUGGACUUUUUUACAAACACAUUAUUUUAUAUAUAUAUUCUUACAAAUUAAUAAUAUAAUAUAUAAAAUUAGAAAUUUGUUUUUCUCUUCAUCAAUUUUUCUUCUUCUUCUUCUUCUUCUUCCUUCCUGGGUCUGUUCUUGCUUCUUCCUAGGUUUUGCUGAAACAAAAAAGGACAAAAUAAUAAAAAGGAGAUAAUCUCGAAAAAAAAAAAACAAACAAAAGCAUCCGUUGAUUCAGAUGGGGUACGUGGUGAUAAUUCCACUGUGGAUGUUGUUGUUCGUUGUGAUCGUGGGCCUUACUGUUUACCUAUUAGUAAGGGCCCGUAGACGAAGACAAGCAGUCCAACUUCCAGUUUAUUAUGGGCCUCCCGCUCCCCCACUUGGGGCCCAAGAUAAGCCCAACUGAUUUAUCCAAUACAACGCUCGUACUAGUAAGUUUAAGUUGUGUGUGUGAAUUUUCGAGAAUGUUUUUUCUUUGUUGGUACUAAAGUUUUAUUUUGGACUUUUAGUAUUUGUAUAGAGUUAAAUAAAUGAAUUUGACAUUGUAACUUAAUUUAGUUCA